This 57-nucleotide transfer RNA is filed under the name Pteropus alecto (black flying fox). It matches the Rfam family "tRNA", at positions 9 to 63 of the family's 71-position model. Rfam says of the family: Transfer RNA (tRNA) molecules are approximately 80 nucleotides in length. Their secondary structure includes four short double-helical elements and three loops (D, anti-codon, and T loops). Lineage: Eukaryota; Metazoa; Chordata; Mammalia; Chiroptera; Pteropodidae. The record is from Rfam by way of RNAcentral.
AGUGUAGUGGUUAGCAUGUCUGCUUUACACGCAGAAGGUCCUGGGUUCGCGCCCCGG